Manacus vitellinus (golden-collared manakin) is the source of this 512-nucleotide long non-coding RNA. RefSeq lists it as uncharacterized. The transcript is spliced from 3 exons. NCBI's taxonomy places the organism in Eukaryota, Metazoa, Chordata, Aves, Passeriformes, Pipridae. The record is from RefSeq and is a predicted model, not a curated record.
CCACAGCACCCUCAGCAGGGAACACUAUGGUGCUGUGGGGAAGAGGGAAGUGUCAGGCAGCUGAGAUGGCUCUGCUGCUUCUCCUACCACAGUCUUUCAGGGUGGUCAGGACCUGAAUUCCUCACGCAAAAGAAGAAGCAGGGGAAGAGGAAACUGCAAGCAAGGGCCUUCCCCACCUCAGGGAUCUGUCACAAGGACUCAGCAAGGCUCCAAGCAUGGUUUCUUGCUCUGCAGUCUCUCAGCUCAAGCCUCCUGGGUUUGUUAUUGCACUUCAGCUUUGGAGUAACCAGGAGAGGCAGAGCUUGUCCAGCAUCACAGAGCUGUGGGAACAGCACCGAGUCCUGCCCUGAGCUGUAUGGCACUGGUGCUCCACCAGCUCCAAGCCAGCUUCCAUCCUGGAUCUCAAAUCCAGCUGCUGUGUGAGACACAAGUGGGCUUCUGUGCCACCCCCCACCGCCCAGCUUCACCUGAGGGCUGUGCUGAGAUGUCAUGAGAGAAGAUUAGUGAAAAAU